Molecule: long non-coding RNA, 585 nt
Organism: Manacus vitellinus (golden-collared manakin)
Lineage: Eukaryota; Metazoa; Chordata; Aves; Passeriformes; Pipridae
Exons: 3
Source: RefSeq, a predicted model, not a curated record
CAUGUCGUCUGAAAUUACACCAUCAUCAGUCGUCGCAUCAGAACCCGGAAGUCCCUCCACGGAAACUGCAGCUGCUGUAGUCGGAGAGCAGACUUCAGGCUGCUCAGGGAAUUAGAUCAAUUAAAAACUUUGUGCGCCCUUGUGGAAAUUACAUACUCACAGAAUCAGAAGAGAAGAGGUUAAUUUUAACUGCAUAGCUGAAGGAGAGGCAGCCAUGAUUUGAAACACCACGUGUGGCAUGGGGCUGGCCAGCGGUAGGGGGCAGGAGCAGCACAGCGACUGAGUGAAGCCCCCCUGAAGCUGGUGACCGAGGGGGACCCCGAAAGAUCGGGAAGACCCCCUGGGUUGCAUCUUCUUUCCCCCCGGCAGUGGGGGGGAGAGGAAAGCAGCAGCAAAAGCAAAUAUGGCAUGGACCAGACCUAGAGACACAAGGAUGUCCAACGGGAAGAGAGAGAGAGAGUCGGUUGGAAUCAGUUCUAGGACAUGGUGACACGGGUGUUCCUCUGAAAUUCACGGUAAUACCCUCGGAUAAGGUGGCUGAAGAGCGAGAAGUGGGGGCAGACCCCCCAUACUCCUUAGAAGAAA